AAUGAACGUUGGCGGCGUGGAUUAGGCAUGCGAGUCGUGCGAGAACCGUAGCAAUACGGGGAAAGCGGCGAAAGGGAGAGGAAUACGCGGGUACCUACCCUCGGACCUGGGAUAGCUACGGGAAACUGUAGGUAAUACCAGAUAAUGUCUCCGGACCAAAGGUGUGAUUCCGUCCGGGGAGGGGCCCACGUCCUAUUAGCUAGUUGGUGAGGUAACGGCUCACCAAGGCGAAGAUGGGUACGGGAUGUGAGAGCAUGAUCCCGCUCAUUGGGACUGAGACACUGCCCAGACACCUACGGGUGGCUG
This 306-nucleotide ribosomal RNA is filed under the name uncultured Planctomycetota bacterium. Its description in RNAcentral is "bacterial SSU rRNA". It matches the Rfam family "Bacterial small subunit ribosomal RNA", at positions 29 to 351 of the family's 1533-position model. The record is from RNAcentral. Lineage: Bacteria; Pseudomonadati; Planctomycetota.